AGAGUUUGAUCCUGGCUCAGAAUCAACGCUGGCGGCGCGCUUAACACAUGCAAGUCGCACGAGAAAGUGGAGCAAUCCAUGAGUAAAGUGGCGUACGGGUGAGUAACACGUGGAUCAUCUACCUCUUGGUGGGGAAUAACCUUGGGAAACCGGGGCUAAUACCGCAUAAGCCUGGAAAGGGAAAGCAGCAAUGCGCCGAGAGAGGAGUCCGCGGCCGAUUAGCUAGUUGGUAGGGUAAUGGCCUACCAAGGCAAUGAUCGGUAGCCGGCCUGAGAGGGCACACGGCCACACUGGCACUGAAACACGGGCCAGACUCCUACGGGAGGCAGCAGUGGGGAAUCUUGCACAAUGGGGGAAACCCUGAUGCAGCGACGCCGCGUGAGCGAUGAAGCCCUUCGGGGUGUAAAGCUCUUUCGGCAGGAACGAUAAUGACGGUACCUGAAGAAGAAGCUGCGGCUAACUACGUGCCAGCAGCCGCGGUAAUACGUAGGCAGCAAGCGUUGUUCGGAGUUACUGGGCGUAAAGAGUGUGUAGGCGGUUCUCUAAGUUCGGUGUGAAAUCUCCCGGCUCAACUGGGAGGGUGCGCCGGAAACUGGAGGGCUUGAGUAUGGGAGAGGAAAGCGGAAUUCCUGGUGUAGCGGUGAAAUGCGUAGAUAUCAGGAGGAACACCUGCGGUGUAGACAGCUUUCUGGACCAUCACUGACGCUGAGACACGAAAGCGUGGGUAGCAAACAGGAUUAGAUACCCUAGUAGUCC
RNAcentral lists this ribosomal RNA (756 nucleotides) under uncultured bacterium. RNAcentral's name for it is "bacterial SSU rRNA". It matches the Rfam family "Bacterial small subunit ribosomal RNA", at positions 8 to 796 of the family's 1533-position model. The record is from RNAcentral.